GCCCAGCUGAUGAGUCCCGAGUGGGACGAAACACGCGUCCUGGAU
This is a non-coding RNA of Schistosoma curassoni, 45 nucleotides long. The record is from Rfam. NCBI's taxonomy places the organism in Eukaryota, Metazoa, Platyhelminthes, Trematoda, Strigeidida, Schistosomatidae.